ACAAACAGCGAUUGUGACAUCUCCUACCACUAACAUUUUGUCAUAAUUACACGGUUACUAAUAUUUAAUUCGAUCAUAAAAAUUGCACGAAUUUUACAUGUUUAAAAAUUUACGUGCACAGCGAGUACAUACAAAAUACAGCCAAAAUAAUUUCAAUUUCCAUCAGUCUAUGGCCAGAGAACGUGGAAGAAUUGUAUGUACUCUGCUAUGGCUGCUAAUCUCAUUCAACGAACAUAUAACACAAUUUAUCUAUGGCUAACAGAAUAAGUGCACAAUAUAAAAACUACAAAUAAAAGUAUGUACGUGAAAUGAUCGUGUUCAGCGUUUGAAGCUACAAGUAUUCCUAAAAUAGUGCAAUGUUGUUUGUGCAGCAACAUAAACAUAAUACCAAAUAUGAGUUGACAGUUGACGGCAGUAACGCUUUUGCCCAUGACGACGCUUUGAUUUUUUCUGGAGCAGCGCAGAAUUUUUCGCAUUUUUUUUAACAUUGGAUUUUAGGCUCUUGGCGACACCUUAGCGAAAACAAAACAACACUAGACCGUAGGUGGACGCGCAAAGUUUCAUCCAGGUAGCCAAUAUAAAUAAAAUCGAAUUUCUGCAUAAAAUUAAAUUAAAGUUACCAGUCAUAAUUAGGCGGCAAACAAAGUAGAAAUUUGAAUUAGAAAAUAAAUUAUGUGCACCAUUUCCAAUAAAUCGUGCAUACAAUGCAUGUACGAACGGUUGGUAUACUUAUUUAUAUACUUGGCAAUUGUACUACUAAGUUGUGUUAUAAGAGAUAAUUGCUUUUUUAUUUUUUUAAUUUAAUAUAUUUUGGCAUUGCAAUUAACUACAUACAUAUAUUUACCGACGACAUCCAAUCAUAUUGAAGUUAACAAAGGGUGCAAAAAAAAUUUAGCAAAGGCGCAAACCGAAUAUUAAAUGUAUUAUUUUAUAUGUAUUUGCAUGACAUGGCAAGAAAAAACAUUGGCCGAGCCACAUUCCCUGCAUUUCUGUUCGCCUGGUAGAAUGAGAGUUUAAUAAACACGUGAAUUGAUUUGUCUGUAAGGAGGCUGAAAGUAAAAAAAAGCCGACAUGAAAAGAAAAUGCAAGUUGCAAGUUGAUAGUGCAGUGCAUAAAAAAAUAUUAUUGGUUAUUUUUAUUAAAGAAAUUCGACAAGGGGAAGCAACUCUGAAACAAACGAUUGUAACUAGUUUUACAUGCAGUACGAAGUAAAGGUUGCGAAAGUGUGAGAGAUUGAAGAAGUAUGCAAUAAGUGGAAAAUUACUUCUGAUACUCGACCUCGAUUAUUGUGGGAAACACCUAUUGGCAGGAAUUAAAGAAAUAAAAUAUGAUCAUAAAGUGUGAAACAUUUUACCUAAAUAUUGCAACAUCAUCGCGCGUGAAUAGAGUGAAUAUGAAAACAUCUGCUAUAAACAUAUGCACAUGUCCAAGAGAAAACAAUUAAAUGCAUAUUAAUAUUAAAUUAAAAGCAUCAACAAUGGCGUUUUUUUGUUGCACUAUAAAACAAUAACAACAACGUGUUUUGGUGAAAACAAAUCCGUUG
Molecule: long non-coding RNA, 1543 nt
Organism: Bactrocera oleae (olive fruit fly)
Lineage: Eukaryota; Metazoa; Arthropoda; Insecta; Diptera; Tephritidae
Source: RefSeq, a predicted model, not a curated record